RNAcentral lists this transfer RNA (76 nucleotides) under Ovis aries (sheep). The record is from Rfam by way of RNAcentral. Lineage: Eukaryota; Metazoa; Chordata; Mammalia; Artiodactyla; Bovidae.
UAGCUCAGUGGGUAGAGAGCCUGCCUGCAAUGCAGGAGUCUGCCUGCAAUGCAGGAGACCUGGGUUCAAUUCCUGG